UACCAUCAAAUUGUUGGCAGAUGAUACAAGCUUGCCAAGGGGGCUUGCACAAAUAUUGGUAUUGACAGAUAAUUCAGAAUGGAUAGAUUGAAUAGACAGAGGAUCUCCGGAGGUAAAUUUGGAAAUUGUGUCAGGAGAUUCUUUUACUUGCUCACAUGCAGGUCCACAAUUAGAUUUGGAACUGACAUCAGGAAAUUCUCUAGUUUUCGCAGUUUCAGAAUCUUCAUUCUCCACAUUACAAGAUACUGCAGAUGAUAAAGGAGAUGGAGAAGCUAAAAGUUGGGUCUUGUCUACAGCAACAACCUUCUCUGAGAAGUGUCUACA
Molecule: long non-coding RNA, 324 nt
Filed under: Ricinus communis (castor bean)
Lineage: Eukaryota; Viridiplantae; Streptophyta; Magnoliopsida; Malpighiales; Euphorbiaceae
Description: long non-coding RNA (RCOM_LNC001797)
Source: RNAcentral